GCCAUAAUGAGACCUUGGGGAAAUUACUUAACUUCUUUGUGCCUCAGUUUCCUUAUUUAUAAAGUGGGGGUAAUAAUACCUACCUCAUAGGGUAGUUGUGAGGACCAAAU
Molecule: small nucleolar RNA, 110 nt
Filed under: Prolemur simus (greater bamboo lemur)
Lineage: Eukaryota; Metazoa; Chordata; Mammalia; Primates; Lemuridae
Description: Small nucleolar RNA ACA59 (ENSPSMG00000026030.1)
Source: RNAcentral